GAGGGACAUCGCAGCACCUGCAAUGCCACCCGGCGAGAAUCGGUGGUCAGGUGCUCGGAGCUCUGAGCCGGAACCACUGUAGCGUGGGUCCUGUCUGCCUCCACGGCUAUGAUCCAGUCAAGCAGAAACCAGCAGGUUACACGAGGAAACCUGCAUACAUAUGUAUGGAACAGUAAUGUCUGUGCUGGUCCAUUUGGGUCACGAGGGCCAUGCUCAAAAAACAAGGUAGCAGAUGGAUCCCAGAGAUGGAUCCCAGGGGGUGUUUAUUUACAGUGUGGGUGGGUGAUUUAGGUGCUGGAGGUGUAGGGGGAAUUCUGUUUCCUGUCCCCGGUGUUGGGGGGCCUGUCUUCGUGCAGCACCUCGUAGGGGGAGGCAGGGAGGUGGGCAUCGCUCAGGACCACCAGCUGUCAUUCUGCGGCUGCUUUGGGGUGUUUUCAGAGCUCUUCUCCCCUGCUUGGCGCGGCAUGGGAGGCCCCCUUAAAGCCCCUGGGAGCUGGAAGACCCCCCAAGUCCGUCGCCUUCAGCUGGCAGUCAUAUCUGCCUGAGUAAUAUCUGUCCCGGCUUGCUGGGUCAUUUUCACUCCGUGCUCUAAUCCUCUGGCGCGAUGAUGAAUCCUCCAAGGCUCCACUGUCACGCGGUUCUGUGCUGGGUUUGGAUUUCAGAGGCUUUGAAAUAGGAUCCAAAAGGAGCUCCCAUUUAAGGCUUUUCACACUGUAAAGGGCACUUUGUUGAUGGUGUCCAUUCAAAAGUUAUUUUCAUCGCAUCAGAGUUUACAGAAAAACAUCCACACCUCACUAAAGUGGGAUGAAGGUUAUUGGGUAAAUUUGGUUGUACUUUCACGGAAUCCUGGAUUUCUCUUAUUGCAGGGAUAUAAUCUUCUGGCUGGUGGACCCUGUUUAGCCCUGGAUCGUGUAGCCACAGGCUGCUGCGCACCGGUCUGGUGCAGCAAUGGGGAGCCCAGGUUUGUCAGGGACCACAGGUCCUGCUCAGGGUGUUCAGGUUAGAUGUAAGUGCAGCUGGUGCUUCAGGUGUAAAGGUGUUUCUAAUGGAAACAUAAACCAUUGACAACUUAGUAAGUUUUUAAGAUCAAUGCAUUUGUAUGUUACAUGUGUGUCCAAUUACUGAUUACUGUGAUGAUAGAUCCUCUCAUAACACAUCGUUCCAUCCAUUCAUACAUCAGUCUUCCAGCUACUCAUCCAUUGCAGGGUCACAAGGAGACAGCAGGGUCUCUUUGGUCAGUGUGUGCAGGGUCUCCUAGGCCAGCAUGUGUAGGGUCUCCUCAGCUGCCGUCCAUAGGGUCUCCUCAGUCUGUGUGUGCGUGGGGUCGCCUCAGCCGGCAUGUGUGGGGUCUCCUCAGUCUGCGUGUGCGGGGUCUCCUCAGUCUGCGUGUGCGGGGUCUCCUCAGUCGGCAUGUGCGGGGUCUCCUCAGUCGGCGUGUGCGGGGUCUCCUCAGUCUGCAUGUAGGAGGUCUCCUCAGUCAGUGUGUGCAGGGUCUCCUCAGUCGGUGUGUGCAGGGUCUCCUCAGUCGGUGUGUGCGGGGUCUCCUCAGUCGGCGUGUGCGGGGUCUCCUCAGUCGGAAUGUAGGAGGUCUCCUCAGUCGGCAUGUGCGGGGUCUCCUUAGUCGGCGUGUGCGGGGUCUCCUCAGUCGGCGUGUGCGGGGUCUCCUCAGUCGGCGUGUGCGGGGUCUCCUCAGUCGGCGUGUGCGGGGUCUCCUCAGUCGGUGUGUGCGGGGUCUCCUCAGUCGGUGUGUGCGGGGUCUCCUCAGUCGGCGUGUGCGGGGUCUCCUCAGGCGGCGUGUGCGGGGUCUCCUCAGUCGGUGUGUGCGGGGUCUCCUCAGUCAGUGUGUGCGGGGUCUCCUCAGUCGGUGUGUGCGGGGUCUCCUCAGUCGGUGUGUGCGGGGUCUCCUCAGUCGGCGUGUGCGGGGUCUCCUCAGUCGGCGUGUGCGGGGUCUCCUCUGCUGUCAUUCACCCAGUCUUAUU
This is a long non-coding RNA of Brienomyrus brachyistius, 1979 nucleotides long. RefSeq lists it as uncharacterized. NCBI's taxonomy places the organism in Eukaryota, Metazoa, Chordata, Actinopteri, Osteoglossiformes, Mormyridae. The record is from RefSeq and is a predicted model, not a curated record. The transcript is spliced from 3 exons.